UGCAAGAAAGUGUAUGGAUGACAGAGUCAUUUAAGCACAUAUUGCUGCCUACCUAUUGGGGAAUUUAAGCUAUUUUAUAGCUUGCACAGCAAGCAAGUCAGAAGAUAUGGCAAAUUCAACAAUAACUGAAGGAAAAGGAAUGGACAGAGAAAAACAUGCAGUAUACCACAAAAUAGAAAAAGAAAAGAUAUCCAGCCAAAAAAGAAAUGGGAAAAAAAUCAACUUUUUUUAGUCACCUGAAAUUACCCAUUAACACUACAAUUAAAGAAAUGCAUAAAGAAAAAAAGAAAAAUCCACCCACGCAGAUUACUCUUCAUGGGAAAGCCACACAGCAGAACUAAUAGUUUGGUAUUCUCUUCUACAUUUUUGGAAAAAAAAAAAAAAUAACAGCGGUAACACUGUCCUGAAAAAUGUAGUUUAACUGGUUCUUCAGCAUGUUGAAUAAAUUGGUACAAAAAAAAUGAA
Pantherophis guttatus is the source of this 465-nucleotide non-coding RNA. The record is from RefSeq and is a predicted model, not a curated record. NCBI's taxonomy places the organism in Eukaryota, Metazoa, Chordata, Lepidosauria, Squamata, Colubridae.